GAUCGAACGGCUAGCUACAGGCUUAACACAUGCAAGUCGAGGGGCAGCAUGAAAGGAACUUCGGUUCUUUUGAUGGCGACCGGCGCACGGGUGCGUAACGCGUAUCGAACCUGCCUCAUACUCGGGGAUAGCCUUGCGAAAGUAAGAUUAAUACCCGGCGGUCUCGGAUGGCCGCAUGACUAUCCGAGUGAAGAUUUAUCGGUAUGAGAUGGCGAUGCGUCCCAUUAGCUAGUUGGUGAGGUAAUGGCUCACCAAGGCAUCGAUGGGUAGGGGUUCUGAGAGGAAGGUCCCCCACAUUGGAACUGAGACACGGUCCAA
RNAcentral lists this ribosomal RNA (318 nucleotides) under uncultured bacterium. RNAcentral describes it as "bacterial SSU rRNA". It matches the Rfam family "Bacterial small subunit ribosomal RNA", at positions 35 to 334 of the family's 1533-position model. The record is from RNAcentral.